Molecule: non-coding RNA, 929 nt
Organism: Microcebus murinus (gray mouse lemur)
Lineage: Eukaryota; Metazoa; Chordata; Mammalia; Primates; Cheirogaleidae
Source: RefSeq, a predicted model, not a curated record
AGGUGGAAGUUUUUCUCAAAUGACUACAGCUAGAAAUAAUCAUCUAGGACCAAUAUCUACUGAGACUUUAAUUUCUUCUGAGACUUUAUUAAGGAAGAAGCAUUUACUAUUUAAUCAAGGACUUCUGGAGUAAGUAUGAUUAACUCCAAGACCUGGAAUGGCAAGGAGAAGACUAGGAUGUUGAGGCCAGCUGACUUCCUCCACCUCUGCAUGAAGGCUAUUCAGCAUUAGAGACUCUCGUGUUCAGAGGCUGAACAAUUGGAACAUGAGCUGUUUUAUUUUGAGAAAUAAGAGAAAGGAGUAGCAAAUUUUAAUAUCAGUGGGGCAUAAUAUUGGCAUUGAAAAAAAUCAGUUAAAAUGGGCGUUUAGAUUGAGGCCAAUCUCAGAAAAUUGAGUAGACAGAGAUUUAGUAAUGGCAUAUUCUGUGGCAUCAGAAAAUAUCAGUAGUUUUUGGGCCCUGCAGCCAAGACAAGACAGCAUAUAUAGACCAUCUUCAGAGGUGACCUUCUCGGCAAUGUGGUCUAAAGAACUAGAUAAAUUUUUUCACAGAAUAUCAAUGGUUACUGAGGCCAUAAAAAGAGAAGGGAUUUGAAUAACUAGUGAAUUAGAUCCAUUAUAGGAAAAGGCCAAAGAGAAGUCUAUGGUUUCAUAAUUCAUGGAAUGUAUAAGAUAUCCAAAUGUCUGGAUGGCAAGAUGUACUAUGUGAAAUGGUUUGUUUGAUAUGCCUCUUCAAAUAAUGGAUAUACUCUGGGAUUCCCAGCAAGGGAUGGGAAACUAAGUUGAUGUAAAUAUAUUAAAAAUAUUUAGAAAUACUGGAGAAAACAUCAUAUGCAGAACAAUUGAAUUUGAAAUGAGAAAUGCAAGUAUCCAGAUUCCACAAAGGAAUUUUAGGAUAUGUGAGCAUGUGCAAAUGUGAAAUAUAUACAUAU